GGGUACAGGAAGUCACAUAGCCAAAUCCAGAGUCAAGAGGUAGGGAAGUACUCUUUAUCCAUGAACGUGGAGGUGAAAGAGUGUAUAUAUACAUUUUUAACAAUAAUCUAAUCUGUUUUAAUAACAGUGCCAACUUCAAAACAUUGUUGAAUAUCAAAUGCAAUAUUAAUUUAUGUUAGUUAUAUGCCCAGCACCAUAAAAGAAAGGUCUGACAACCUGCUUUCAUAAAGAUUACAGCCAAGAAACCCUAUGGACCAGUUCUGCUCUGUAGCAUAUGGGAUCACGAUGAAUUGGCAUGAAUGCAAAUGGCAAUGGGUGUGAUGAUUAAGAUUGUGUGUCGACAUGGCUGGGCCAUGAUUUUCAGUGUUUAUGUGUGAUCAACCCCAUGAUUGAAUCUACUGUGAGUAACCAAUCAGUUGAGAGGGUUUUUCCUUGGGGGUGUGGCCUACAUCCAAAUAUAAGCAGAAGUUCAGGCUUUUUGUUCACUGGGUCCUGUAGCUCUGUCCAGUUCUUGGGACUUGAGGUAGCAGCUUCUCUGCUGAUCUUGGGAUUCAUUGAUCUUCACAGCCUGUGAGUGGAGCCCUACUCUCCAGCCAGUCUUGAGUUCACCACCCCUGUAGCUACACGAAUCAGGAGAAGCUUUGCCAUCUUGUCUGCCAAUCUUUAGAUUCAUCGAUAUUCACAGCCUGUGAGCAGGAGCCCUGCUAUCCAAUCUGCCAGUCUUUGGUUUGCCAGUCCCUGCAGCUAUGUCAACCAGGAGAUGUCUUGCAGUCUUGCCUGCUAAUCUUAGGAUUCGUUGACCUAUUCACAGCCUGUGAGCAAGAGCCCUGCUUUCUGACCUGCUGAUCUUUAGAUUGCCAGCUCCUGCGGCUUCAUGAAUUGGGAGAAGCCUCUAUUUUAAUCCACAGAUUUGGAACUUUCCAGCCUCUACAACCACUUUCUACAGGUAAUUCGGUGGAGCAGUGGUUAAGAGCUCAGCUGCUAACUAAAAGGCCGACAGUUUGAAUCUACCAUCCACUCCUCAGGAACCCUAUGGAGCAGUUCUACUCUGUCCUAUAGCAUCUCAAUGAAUUGGAAUCUACUCGGCUGCAAGGGGUUUAUGACUAUGUGUUUCUCAUUUUCUGCAGGUGCUGUUGAAUCGGUUCCAACUCAUAGGGACCCUAUGUACCACAGAAUGAAACACUGUCGGUUGACCAGGUAGCUGUCUUCCAAAUUUCUUGGCACAGACGAGUGAGCACUUCCAGAUCUACAUCUGUUUGUUGAAACAUCUCAGUUGAUAUUCUGUCAAUCCCUGGAGCCUUGUGUUUCACCAAUGCCAUCAGUGCAGCUUGGACUUCUUCCUUCAGUACCAUCAGUUCCUGAUCAUAUGCUACCUCUUGAAAUGGUUGAAUGUCAACCAAUUCUUUUUGGUAUAAUGACUCUGUGUAUUCCUUUCAUCUUCUUUUGAUGCUUCCUGUGUCAUUUAAUAUUUUCCCCCAUAGAAUCCUUCACUGUUGCAACUCAAGGCUUGAAUUUUUUCUUCGGUUCUUUCAGCUUGAGAAACACCAAAUGUGUUCUUCCCUUUUGGUUUUCUGUGUUCAGCUCUUUGCACAUGUCAUUAUAAUACUUUGCUUUCUCCAGCCGCCCUUUGAAAUCUUCUGUUCAGUUCUUUUACUUCAUCAUUUCUUCCUUUUGCUUUAGCAGCUCAACGUUCAAGAGCAAGUUCCUGUCUUUUUAAUGACCUCUUGCUUUCUUCAUGUAUGAUGUCCUUGCACGACUCGUCUGGUCUUCAUUCAUUAGUGUUCCACACAUCAAAUCUAGUCUUGAGAUGGUCUCUAAAUUCAGGUGGUGUAUACUCAAGGUUAUACUUAGGCUGUCAUCAACUUGUUCUAAUUUUCUUCAGUUUCAACUUGAACUUACUUAUGAGCAAUUGAUGGUCUGUUCCACAGUCGGUCCCUGGCCUUGUUCUGACUGAUGACAUCAAGCUUUUCCAUCAUUUCUUUCUACAGAUGUAGUUGAUUUGAUUCCUAUGUAUUUAAAGUACACAAAUUUCUGUGGAAGUUGGCCAUUCGCUUGAUUACUUCCAGAUCACAUUCAUUUAUAGGAAAACGACUGAUACUAACAACAUAUUGAGCAGUUUGGGUCAAGGUACACAUAACAAAGGCAAGUAGAAUUCAAAAUAUAACAUCCUGCAGUUAGAAAAUUUGUAAACUGGAUUUGCAAGAUUCAGUUAGAAAAAGACCAAGAAAAUGGACAUUUUUCAAGUAGAAAUACCAUAGGUGAUUGAAAUAUAAGUAAUUUAAAAAACUGUUCUGCGACCCAUAAUGGAUUUUAAUAAUAAAGCAAUUCUAAUGUAGCUGAUGGAAAUUGUUCACAAUUUUCUUAGGUAAGGCAUAUACUAGUUACUAGAAUUCGUGAUUCUAGGAAUCUGAUUACUAGAAUAUUACUGGUAGAAAUAACCCAUAAAAUGAAAGACUGAAACCCCACAUAACAGAACUUGUUAUUCAGUGAAGCAUUGUUAAUGAAGUGGUCUGUCUUAAAUUUAUUAUUUGUUGAAUAAGUCAAUUUUUUAACCCUAUGCUAUUAAGAUACACUAUGGACCCAUUUUCACUUUUUGGGUUCUUUUAAAAUUUUUGUUUUUAAUUUUUAGGUAUUAUUACUCACAUAGAAAAAUAAUUACUCCAUUAUGGGUUUGAAGGUUGAUGUUGUUGUUGUUGUUAGGUGCUGUUGUUUCGGUUCCGACUCAUAGCGACCCUAUGCACAACAGAACGAAACACUGCCCAGUCCUGAGCCAUCCUUACAAUCGUUGUUAUGCUUGAGCCCAUUGUUACAGCCACUGGGUCAAUCCACUUCGUUGAGGGUCUUCCUCUUUUCUGCUGACCCUGUAGUUUGUCAAGCAUGACGUCCUUCUCCAGAGACUGAUCCCUCCUGACAACAUGUCCUAAGUAUGUAAGUUGCAGCCUGGCCAUCCUUGCUUCUAAGGAGCAUUCUGGUUGUGCUUCUUCCAAGACAGAUUUAUUUGUUCUUCUGGUAGUCCAUGGUAUAUUCAAUAUUCUUUGCCAAUGCCACAAUUCAAAGGCAUCAAUUCUUCUUUGGUCUUCUUAUUCAUUGUCCAGCUUUGACAUGCGUAUAAUGUGAUUGAAAAUACCAUGGCUUGGGUCAGGUGCACCUUAGUCUUCAAGGUGACAUCUUUGCUCUUCAACACUUUAAAGAGGUCCUUUGCAGCAGAUUUACCCCAAUGCAAUGUGUCUUUUGAUUUCUUGACUGCUGCUUCCAUGGCUGUUGAUUGUGGAUCCAAGUAAAAUGAAAUCCUUGAUAACUUCAGUCUUUUCUCUGUUUAUCAUGAUGUUGCUCAUUGGUCUAGUUGUGAGGAUUUUUUUUUCUUUAUGUUGAGGUGUAAUCCAUACUGAAGGCUGUGGCCUUUGAUCUUCAUUAGUAAGUGCUUCAAGUCCUCUUCACUUUCGGCAAGCAAGGUUGUGUUAUCUGCAUAACGCAGGUUGUUAAUGAGUCUUCCUCCAAUCCUGAUGCCCCAUUCUUCUUCAUAUAGUCCAGCUUCUUGGAUUAUUUGCUCAGCAUACAAAGUCAAUAGGUAUGGUGAAAGGAUACAACCCCGAUGCACACCUUUCCUGACUUUAAACCAAUCAGUAUCCCCUUGUUCUGUCCGAACAACUGCCUCUUGGUCUAAGUAAAUGUUCCUCAUGAGCACAAUUAAGUGUUCUGGAAUUCCCAUUCUUCGCAAUGUCAUCCAUAAUUUGUUAUGAUCCACACAGUCGAAUGCCUUUGCAUAGUCAAUAAAACACAGGUAAACAUCCUUCUGGCAUUCUCUGCUUUCAGCCAGGAUCCAUCUGACAUCAGCAAUGAUAUCCCUGGUUCCACGUCCUCUUCUGAACACCUGAAUUUCUGGCAGUUCCCUGUCGAUAUACUGCUGCAGCCAUUUUUGAAUGAUUUUCAGCAAAAUUUUGCUUGUGUAUGAUGUUGUUGUAUAAUUUCCACAUUUGGUUGGGUCACCUUUCUUGGGAAUAGGCAUAAAUAUGGAUCUCUUCCAGUCAGCUGGCCAGGAAGCUGUCUUCCAUAUUUCUUGGCAUAGACGAGUGAGCACCUCCAGUGCUGCAUCUGUUUGUUGAAAUAUCUCACUUGAUAUUCCAUCAAUGCCUGGAGCCUUGUUUUUUGCCAAUGCUUUCAGAGCAGGUUGGACUUCUUCCUUCAGUACCAUCAGUCCCUGAUCAUAUGCUACCUCUUGAAAUGUUUGAACAUCGACUAAUUCUUUUUGGUGUAAUGACUCUGUGCAUUCCUUCCAUCUUCUUUUGAUGCUUCCUCCAUCAUUUAAUAUUGACCUUAAUGACAUGGAUGGAGUAAAGCUUUCAGGACCUUCAUUUGCUGAUGUGGCAUGAGUCAAAAUGAGAAGAAACAGCUGCAAACAUCCAUUAAUAAUCGGAACCUGGGAUGUAUGAAGGAUGAAACUAGGAAAAAUAGAAAUCAUCAAAAAUGAAAUGGAAUGCAUAAACAUCAAUAUCCUAGGCAUUAGUGAACUGAAAUGGAUUGGUAUUGGCCAUUUUGAAUCAGACAAUCAUAUAGUCUACUACGCUGGGAAUGACAUCUUGAAGAGGAAUGGUAUUUCAUUCUUCAUCAAAAAGAACUGUUCAAGAUCUAUCCUUAAGUACAAUGCUGUCAGUGAUAGGAUUACUAUCCUUGUGCCUACAAGGAAGACCAGUUAAUAUGACUGUUAUUCAAAUAUAUUUUUAUGCACCAACCUCUAGGCACAAAGAUGAAGAAAGAGAAGAUUUUUAUCAGCUGCUGCAGUCUGAAAUUGAUCAAACAUGCAAUCAAGAUGUAUUAAUAAUUACUGGCGAUUUUAAUGUGAAAGUUGGAAACAAAAAACUACUGUUGGAAAAUAUGGCCUUGGUGUAGAAACAAUGCUGGAGAUCGAACGAUAGAAUUUUGAAAGACCAACAACUUCUUCAUUGCAAAUACCUUUCUUUCACCAACAUAAAUGGCUACUAUACACAUGGACCUCUCCAGAUGGAGCACACAGAAAUCAAAUUGACUACAUUUGUGGAAAGCGAAGAUGGAAAAUCUCAAUAUCAUCAGUCAGAAGAAGGCCAGGGGCUGACUGUGGAACAGACCAUCAAUUGCUCAGAUGCAAGUUCAAGCUGAAACUGAAGAAAAUCAGAGCAAGUCCAUGAGAGCCAAAAUAUGGCCUUGAGUAUAUCCCACCUGAAUUUAGAGACCAUAUGAAGAAUAGAUUUGACGCAUUGAACAGUGGUGAUCGAAGACCGGACGAGUUGUGGAAUGACAUCAAAGACAUCAUAUAUGAAGAAAGUAAGAGGUCAUUGAAAAGACAGGAAAGAAAGAAAAGACCAAGAUGGAUGUCGGAGGAGACUCUGAAACUUGCUCUUGAACAUCAAGCAGCUAAAGCAAAAGGAAGAAUUGAUGAAGUAAAAGAACUGAACGGAAGAUUUCAAAGGGUGGCGUGAGAAGACAAAGUAAUGAAGAUUGAUACCUACCUAUAUUCCUCUAAACUAGCAUAUGUAUAGAGCCAGUUUUUAAAGUCUUAUUAUUUCUUAUUGUGAAUUUGUCUAGAAUGAAAAAUUCAAAUCACUGUAAAUUUUUUUUGUUUUAAUAUAUUUUAGCACAUAUCAAUCCAUCUGACAGAUUGAAAAAAUAAUGGGGCAAAUGCUUUGAGGUAUGGAUUGCAGAAUGAAUAUUAUUUCAACUACAGUGCACACUGGCUUUGAUGUGAAAUAUCCUAUCAGAAAUUUCCAUGUCAUAAAUUUGACUCAUACAUGUAACACUGCACCAUUUUCCCAAUCAAUACUAAGGAUGCCAAGAAAUUCACCUGUCUCCUUCAAAAUAUCCAGUUGUUUUACCAUGAGGCUGUUUACAAAUUCAUGGCAUCACAGAUGUAAUCAUAACUACAUCAAAUUUUAUAAGAACAUAAUAACUAAAAAUUAAAGUAUCUGCUUGUAUCCAGUUUUAAGGUUAAACAAAAUUGGGUUAAGCUCAAUCUUUCAAUUAUUUGUUUAAUUUUAAAAUGUGAAUUGAUUUUAAAGGUUUAGGUUGAGAGAUAAAGGAUGUAAUAAUGUCAACGUAAAAAUCAGUUCUGACACGCUGCUUGUUUUGAAAAUGUGAAUUUAAUCCAACACAAAGGAACAAUUUGAACAUAGUGGGAAUUUUGUGGUUGUUUACGUGUGAUUUUGUCUGAGAGAAAUACUAAAUGCAUGCAGAAAACUGCACCUAGCUGAGCAGAGCCAUGUAGGAAUACACAACUUCUUCCCCAUACACACACACACACACACACACACACCCCUCAAGCACCUACCAGCCACCUCUGCUCACAUGUGUAUAUGCGCCACACUGAGGGGCAGAUUACCCAGUCAGCAAGGUAAGCACAGGCUUAUUUGUGCUUACUUCCUAAUCUGUAGUGACCAAUUUCACAUGGGCUUCUAAGCCCCUGCUUACCUUGUUCACUGGAUCAUCCACUCUGUCAGGGAUUGUAAAUUUGAAAAGAGGCUUUGAUUCUGUAGAAAGGUGUUGUGAGGUUGGGAGAGAGACAGGUGCCAGCCAUACCUAGAGGUACGUGUGUUGAAAAAUAUGAAAUGGUUCACCACAGAUGAUCUGGUAAGCACCUGCUUACCUUGCCUAUUGGAUAAUCUGCCUGUGGCUACACCCAUCCACAUCUGGCAUGACAACUUUCUGUCCAAUUUCAGAUAACCCUUCCUCCACCACUUCACAAUAACUCACAAAGUACAAUCCUGCCAAAACCUACUUCCACAAUCAAAGUUCAGGUCUUUUUCCAGAUAAAGUGCAAUACUGAUUGUAGUAUUAUAUAUUUAUAAAUCAUUUUAAAUGUGUAAAACUGUGCUACCAUUUUUUUGUUUCCUGUUUCUUUAAAAUGUCACUGGUGAAG
Molecule: long non-coding RNA, 6886 nt
Organism: Loxodonta africana (African savanna elephant)
Lineage: Eukaryota; Metazoa; Chordata; Mammalia; Proboscidea; Elephantidae
Exons: 3
Source: RefSeq, a predicted model, not a curated record